Callithrix jacchus (white-tufted-ear marmoset) is the source of this 95-nucleotide small nucleolar RNA. Its record names the gene SNORD116. It matches the Rfam family "Small nucleolar RNA SNORD116". From Rfam's summary of the family: HBII-85 is a member of the C/D class of snoRNAs, which contain the C (UGAUGA) and D (CUGA) box motifs. The record is from Ensembl. Lineage: Eukaryota; Metazoa; Chordata; Mammalia; Primates; Cebidae.
GGAUCGACAAUGAGUCCCCAGUAAAAACAUUCCUUGGAAAAGCUGAAUAAAAUGAGUGAAAACUCGUAGCGUCGUUUUCAUUGGAACUGAGGUUC